AACCCGCUCUGCCUACGCCGUCAUCCCGGAGGAGUCAAGUGUCUACCACUGCCAAGUCGAAACAGUAGCGUUGCAUGGACACGUAUAAGUUUUGGCAAAAAAAAAUCGUUCCGAGUGUACGAUAUGCAUGAAGUGUGAUCGAAACGAGAGUCGGGGGUGAGAUGAGAAUCGAUUAUGGAUCGCAGCUAUCGCGGUGUUGAGGAGGGUUGUGCAACUGAUGCAAAGGUACAUCCAGGGUUCGAAAUGAUCAACCACCAGCGAAGCUUUAAGCUUGCACUCGGUGACUUCCGUGGCCCUGGAGAUGACGAGGGUAAACUUGCCCGUGACUUUUACCAAUUUCGCGUCAACAACGCAGAUGACGACAUUCCGACGACUGUCCGUGUGGAUCGAGCUGCCGCUUCGCGGUGCGAUAACAAAAUACAUUACCAAAGUAUCGAGAACCACAAUCAUCGAACUCUCCACGGUUGUCCGCAAAGUUCUGGAGGGAACGUUCCUUACAGUAACUGCAACGAUCACGCGACCCUCGUACGCCGGACGAAUCACGACGGUGUCGUCGUCACGUCUCCGAUGACCCAGCUGUGCAAUUCGGUAUCGCCGAUCAUCACCGGCGGCGCGGGUUGCAGCGUAUCGACAAACUCGUCGGCGAAUUAUUGGAAACAGUACUGCUGCACUGGACAGGAAAGCGGGUAUGGCUCCGACGAAUUCGGUCAGGACUCACCAAGGUACACCUCCCCAAAAGCCGCGGCACUCUACGCCGACCACUAUUAUCUUGAUGACAACGGACCUGGAGCGGGCCCUGGUGAUCCAUGGACAGGAAGCACAGGCGGAGUGCAACCUCCGUACAGUGGCUACGCACCAUCCCAUUUGGCACAGCCAGCUUACCCCAUGCACAUACCCCAUGACCCUAUGGCAUAUCCCGUGAUAUCGCCGAAUGGUGAUACGGCAGCCCCGAUACUUGGUUCAGCUGUUACGAGUGCUGCGUCUUUACCACCGAUGUCAACGUUUCGAGGUAGCGCGGCUGUAGCAGCUGGCAGUGGGACGGGAGCUCCAUCUCCCGCUUCCUUGCAGUACAGCCACAGCCCCGGAGCUCCGCCACCAGCCCCCAGUGCACCAAGUGCGACAACCAACAACCAGCCAACGCCAGGAGACACCCUUGGCAAAGCGCUUGCCUCUGUUGUGAGUGCAAGAAUUUAUCCCACGGACCAAUCGGUAUCUAGCUAUAGCAGUAACCCUUCGACGCCGGUUAGCUCACCCCCUCCGUUAACGGGCUCUGCACCAGGCUGGGCCUCAGGCACAGCCCCAGUUUCCCCACAUUUUGCGGCAGACCCAAAUCGUGGCGGAACUAUUCACAUGCCGGCACCAGAGCAGCAGAGGCUAGAUGAUGCCAUCGGCUUCCUGCGCGACCAUGCCGAGUUGGUACAGGGAACACGGAUGGAGGAGCGACUGGACGAUGCAAUCAAUGUACUGAGGAAUCAUGCGGAAAGUCAGCUCGGCUUGCACCUCGCACCUGUAGGACCUCACGCCUCGUUAUAUUCCCAUACCUCACCCCCACAGUUGGACCAUUUAACGAGUCCUCACCCUGCGGUAACAGUGGCGCAACCCCAGGGUUCGUACCCUGGUCUGACGUCAACACCCGACACAGAUGGUUCUAUAAAAAUCGAGAGGUUACCUGUUUCAAAUGCCAAAUAUAUAUCUUUAGAAAAGAGGAAAGAUCCGCCAGACAGUAGUGGCGGCGAAACCAAACCUUCGAGCAGCGACUUGGUCACUGGAGCUGGUGUCAUAGGAGCCUCUACCGUCAAUUCGACGUCGCAAGGGAAAGGCACCAAGAGAUCGCGCAGAUAUUGUUCGAGCGCUGAGGAAGACUGCGACGACCCUGGCACUAAAGCGGUGCGUGAAAAAGAAAGACGACAGGCUAACAACGUUCGUGAAAGUUGUUCGAGCGCCGAAGACGAGGAUGAUGAUCCUGACAUGAAGGCUCAGAGGGAAAAGGAGAGGAGGCAGGCCAAUAAUGCUAGGGAAAGGAUACGUAUUAGGGAUAUUAAUGAAGCUUUGAAGGAACUCGGCAGAAUGUGUAUGACGCACCUAAAGACCGACAAACCACAAACUAAACUUGGCAUUCUUAAUAUGGCUGUCGAAGUUAUUAUGACCUUGGAGCAACAAGUCAGAGAACGGAAUCUAAAUCCAAAAGCAGCGUGUUUAAAAAGGAGAGAAGAAGAGAAAGCUGAAGAUGGUCCCAAAUUACCUGGACAUUUAGCUACCCACAUAGCGCAUCCUCAUCCCCAUCCGCACUCGCACUCGCAGCCGCCAUUCCCCGCGAUGCCUGGGCCACCACCUUCCCUUCAACACAACCAGUCUCAACCACAGUAGCAGCGGCUGGGCGAUAACGUCGCUCUGUGUUAAGGCGAUGCGUUUGCUAUAAGUUUUUCCAUCACUGGGCUGUCUUGUUGCUGUCUCGUGAAUGGAUUCUAAUUAUCCUACCGUAUAGCGUACUUAUUUUGGCAGCAAAGAAAAUAGCCGCACGUACGGCAAUAGAGUACAGAAUUACUUGCUUUGUGAAGAAUACAGUGUCUCAAGAAGUGAUUAAGAUUCCUCUUAGAUGCAUGUUUUGAAAUUUCGCCCGCAGUGAGUAAUCUGACAGUUUUCUAUUUUUAAUUUUAUCGCGUAGCAACGAAAGGUCGUGUACCAUAAUAAAAUAUUGCUCGUUACAGUUUGCAUUUUUGAACUAGGUAAUAGAGAAGUUCAAUUGCAUAAAUUUGUACAAUACCCCAGAAUGUUCAACCCCAGGAACACAAAUUAUAAAUACUUCUAUUCCUUUUUAUUCUUGCCGUGUCGCAUAGCAAAGAGUGAAUAUCAUUUUGUUGCUUUCAUCUAACCAGGCAUAUUUCGAUAGUAUAAGUUUAAGCUUUCGUUGUAUCUGUAAUUAUCCAAAUAGUCCUGCAUUUUCGAAAAACAAAGGAUUUGACAAGUCUUCAAUCGGUAUACUAAAUACAUAAUAGCUGACGGUAGAAGUGACAACAGAUUUUUUAUUCGAUACGACGUUAUUAAAGUUUUGUCUUGGAAAGAGAGUCAAGAAAUAUUGACUUGGAUGAUAUUUUUAAAAAAUUAUAUUUUUAUUAUAUAAAUAAAUACUAUUUAUUCAUGAAAACAACAACGAAUAAUCAUUGGAAUUUAACUUUAAAUGCACUGCCCAAAAUACGGACUUUAUAUUUCGGUAACUUACAAUGACGCCAUCCUUAUUGUAUGUUAUCAGAUUUUAAGACAAACGAAGAAAACAAUGUUUUUACUAUUCACAUUUAACAUUUCCAAGAAUUAUUAAUAUCAUGCAUAUGCCGUGGGACCGUAAAGAGAAUUGUCGGUCACUAUACAAAACUCGCGUUGAAUAAAUGAUUAUUAAAUUGCAUCACAAUAAGACGUACAUACAAUUGUUUUUUAUCACAUGCCAAUCGUUUGGAUCUUUACGAAGCGAAUUUUAAGAACAAUGCACCCUUCUUGGUAGUACUUAUUUCUCGUAUUUCUUAUUGUUGUACAGCGGGCAAAGUAACCAAAGUCAUGUUCACAAGCAUUAAUAGCAGUAGUGUAUGUUUUACUACUGAAAAAUUCUCCACAUGCACACGUUCAUUUCCAUAUACUUACGCAUUUCGUAGAGAUAUUUCGAUAGCCUUUUAUAAAGAAAAGAAAUAUCAAACAAAAAAGAUGACUGUGAUUCAUAAUUUCUAUUUUCAUUUACAAUCAAUUGCCAGUGCCCUUUUUUCCAAUUUUCUUUUUUCUCUUGGUAUGUGAGUAAGGGGAAAUAAAAAGUACGAAAUUAUGUAGAGAAAAAAAAACUGACAAGUUUCAAAGUUUUUUAUUUAUAAUAAUAAAUAAAUUAUCACAUCUUAAUUAUAAAAUAUUUUAGCAAUAUACAGAUUUCUGAAAUUCAUUUCUGUUCGCUAUUAAUGUAAUAAAUGACGAUCUGCAUCGGCAGAGCAUAAGCGGCGCAACGCGUGUGACGUGACUACUCGUGUAAGCACGAAUAAAGCUCGCGGGUAUGCGAGUGUUUGUGUAUGUGAAAUAAAAAAUGCGUUGCUCAAAGACUAUACACAAGAUUAGGUAUUUAGAAGGAAACCUGGCUUUAUCUAUAGCGUGUGUAGAAUAUCCACACUUGACGUGUGUGAGCAGUUUAAGUGGAUACAUGUCCUAGUACGCACCUGAAGCAUGUUUCAUCAUUUCCCACCUCUCUUCGUCGCGACAGCUCUGAAACAGAUUAAUCAGGAUUCAAAUCGUUACUGUAUCAAUAAUCUUGUCGGAAUUACUCCGCCUGCUUAUUAGCAACAAGGCGAAAGAUUUUUGAUGCUUAUUUUUGUAAUGAUUUUUUUUUGACGUUUACUUAUAUUUCUCUACGCGUUAUAGAAUCUUCGGGUAUAACGGAUAAGUAUUAUGUAACGAGGCGAAUUUGUUGAAAUUUCCGCUAGUAAAUAAGAAAGCAAUUAAAUGUGAUAAAUUACUUACAUUUUCUCAACAUCCCGCAACACGCUUUGCAGUCAUUGUGUUGUAUCGAUACAAUCGAAAUAGAUAACUGCAUGUUGAGAACAUUUGCGUUGUAUACUAAACUUUUGCUUUGCCUAACAAGGUAAGGGGGGAAGGGGGGGGGAGAGUAGUAGUGUCAAACCAGAUACAUCAGGCAUCCGAAUAUAAAACAAUGUAAUGAUAGUGAUGGAAAAACUUGGUACAAGCGCAUCGUCUUUGUCAUACCAUGGGAUGUAGAACGACAUCUAAGUGGGCAUGAUAAUUUCUUUGACUUGAAUUCAAUAUCUGGCUAAUGGGCUUAUCUCUGCUUUUACUUUACGGUACUCGACGUCAAUUGAAAUUGUAUUCCAUCUUUGAAUUUACCAUUUGUUUCGUGAAGUUGAGCUGUCCGCGCAGCAUAGAGCUCAAUUCCACGAAAGUUUCUUCAAUAAUCUUAUAUAUUUUACUAUCAAGUGACUGAUAACACAUUUUAACAACUUACGUUCAGGUCAAUUAAGCAAUGUCAUGCUUUGUGAGACAAUUUUCUGACGAAAAAAUCCUUUCAAUAUAGGCGCACUAGAGGCAAUGCGUUUGUGCAUCUGGUUUUAUUUCUUUCUUCGUUUGAGCAUCAUUGUUUUUAAGAUUGAAUGCCCGAUGUGAUUUCGAGAAAUGAUGAACUGUAUGAAUUUAUCGAUAUAAAAGUUUUUUUUUUUUUUUUUACCCAUCUAUCCGCCGUGCUAUUUCGCGUGUAUUACGUACAUGCAUAUGUAUACAGUAACAAACUUUUAUUUGAAAAACUAAGUGAUCCCAGUGACGUUUCUUAAUUAUUUCGUUUAUAUUACUUUCAUAUUUAUCAAUGAUCAGAAUGUGGCCCCAGCUACAGAAAGAUAGCAAGGGGAGUGUGAUAAAAACCAGUCACAACUGAGACAACUCCCGGUUGAUAAAUUUUAUCAUAUAUUAGUAGAGCAUGUUUCAAAUUAUCAAAUUUUAACGGAAUUAUUGUUUCGUCUGUGAAUUUUCUGGUAGUUUCGCAAAAACGGAAUGAAUAAGGAGAAGUUCUUAAAUUACUUGGAAAAAAAUCCUGACGCCAAACAUGUGCUUUAAGUGCUUACUAGCGAACGCAUUCCCUUAAGAUUAAGGACAAUAAAUAUUAUACCUUUGCGUACACACUCAUAUUUCAUUGCUCCUAGUUAAGGAGUGUUUGUACAUAGGAAAGAGUUCUGCCCGCCUACUUAAAUUUGCUUUGUCAACUUGCACCGGCGCGCUAGCAAACAGACGAUAUAUGGUAUAUUCUGUUCCAGUGAAAGAAUUGUUCAAACAUUAUUAUUAUUAUUAUUAUUAUUAUUUCGUCAGUAUGUGUAUAGGGGAUUCAAAUUUUAUGCAGUACUUUUUCCUACAUUCGUGGCUAAUUUAUAACGAGAUAGGAAAAAAUUUGCUAGGCUGGAGUUUAUGUAUACGCUUUUUUUUUUAUUAUUAUUCAAUCGGUUUGUAGAGAGAACAGACCAGUGAAUAAAUGCUUCAAGCGGUUGAUAAUCUCAAAAAGAAUUGACAACUUUUGGUAACGAUUGCAUUGAACUGCUAAUUUUCCAUCCAGAGUUAAUUUAUUUACUGAUGGGUUCAUUCUAUCUGUGUGAAACAAGAUAUCGGACAGAAGUGUUUUAUUUGUUGACUUUACUUUACAACAACAUUAUACGCACACGUCCCAGACAUUUGGCACUUUUGAGUAUUAUAAUAUAAAUUACAAUAUUUCAUACACAUACUAUACAUAUAUAGCAAAUUUUUAGCAUUAGAAAUAUAUUCCAUGUUUGUUAUUAUUUAAGUUUUUUCUUUUACUACGAAUUACCGAUAGGUCAGAUAUAUAAAUAUAUAUAUAUAUGUAUAUACAUAUAUAAGGACUGUGCGGAUUUCCGGAAUCUCGGGACAAAAGUUUAGAUUGUGGAUGGGUUUGUAUCAAAUCAGAUCAGAUUUUUUGGCGAUCCAGAAAUUUUGGAGAAAACCGUAACGUGGAUAACCGAACUUACCGAAUAUUUAUAGUAUUGGACAAAUACUAAAUAAUAGUAGUAAAUAGUAUAUGUAAAUGGCAUAUCUAAAUGGCGUAAAUAUUUUCAGUUAAAAAUAUAUCAUCUUUCAUCGGGAGAUCCAGGAAUGCCGAAAAUUUUGACAAAACUGAUAUUGUAGAGAAUCCCGACAUUUUCAUAAAUCCGGAUGUUUUCGGGGAUCACAAAACUCUCGGCAACACGACCCUAAAGUAAUAGAUUUCUUCCGAUAUGACGACCCGAAGAAUUCUGGUACCCGCACAGCCCUAGUAUGUAUGUAUAUUUUUUGUAUUUUUUUUUUUUUCAUCAUUUCAUAUCGAUGAUAUAUUUUUUUUUUUUUUUUGCAAUAUUAUUAUAUAUUAUUGUACUUGAAAGAUCAUAUUUCAAGCUGCAUUAUUAUGUUAUCAAAGUGAGUUUUAAAAAGGAAAAAAAGGAAAAAAAACGACGCACUGAAAUUCUGAAUUUAAUCAUUACAAAAUAACGUUAUGUCUAUACAGUACCGUAUUAACGAAGCUAAAAAAAAAAAAACAAAUUAAUAAAAAUAGCAAAUCCCACGCUGGUAUAUGCAAAUUCUUUCUCCACGCAAAAUUUCUCUCUGUUCGCAAAUUGUCGCGGAGAAGUUUUAUGAAAACAAAUAUCCAAAGAAAAAAAAAAUAAAUAAAUGACAAUUGUUUGAGCGGACAGGAAUUUCGAACAGUGGUGAAAGA
RNAcentral lists this unclassified non-coding RNA (7228 nucleotides) under Neodiprion pinetum (white pine sawfly). RNAcentral describes it as "transcription factor 12, transcript variant X16". Lineage: Eukaryota; Metazoa; Arthropoda; Insecta; Hymenoptera; Diprionidae. The record is from RNAcentral.